RNAcentral lists this ribosomal RNA (546 nucleotides) under uncultured Glomus. RNAcentral's name for it is "SSU rRNA". It matches the Rfam family "Eukaryotic small subunit ribosomal RNA", at positions 548 to 1098 of the family's 1831-position model. Lineage: Eukaryota; Fungi; Glomeromycota; Glomeromycetes; Glomerales; Glomeraceae. The record is from RNAcentral.
UUGGAGGGCAAGUCUGGUGCCAGCAGCCGCGGUAAUUCCAGCUCCAAUAGCGUAUAUUAAAGUUGUUGCAGUUAAAAAGCUCGUAGUUGAAUUUCGGGAUUAGUACGUCGGUCGUGCCUUAGGUACGUACUGGUGUUACUGGUUCCUACCUUCUGACGAACCAUCAUGUCAUUAAUUUGGUGUGGUGGGGAAUCAGGACUGUUACUUUGAAAAAAUUAGAGUGUUUAAAGCAGGCUCGCGCUUGAAUACAUUAGCAUGGAAUAAUGAAAUAGGACGUUGAUCCUAUUUUGUUGGUUUCUAGGAUUGACGUAAUGAUUAAUAGGGAUAGUUGGGGGCAUUAGUAUUCAAUUGUCAGAGGUGAAAUUCUUGGAUUUAUUGAAGACUAACUACUGCGAAAGCAUUUGCCAAGGAUGUUUUCAUUAAUCAAGAACGAAAGUUAGGGGAUCGGAGACGAUCAGAUACCGUCGUAGUCUUAACCAUAAACUAUGCCGACUAGGGAUCGGAUGAUGUUAUUUUUAAUGACUCAUUCGGCACCUUACGGGAAAC